This 61-nucleotide non-coding RNA is filed under the name uncultured Prevotella sp. RNAcentral describes it as "L13-Bacteroidia ribosomal protein leader". It matches the Rfam family "L13-Bacteroidia ribosomal protein leader", at positions 14 to 73 of the family's 73-position model. The record is from RNAcentral. Lineage: Bacteria; Pseudomonadati; Bacteroidota; Bacteroidia; Bacteroidales; Prevotellaceae.
UUCUCAUAGCGUGGUCGUGUUAAUAGUUCUUCUUUUGGCCGAGGAGAGCGGUUAGUGAAUC